Arachis ipaensis is the source of this 142-nucleotide non-coding RNA. The record is from RefSeq and is a predicted model, not a curated record. Lineage: Eukaryota; Viridiplantae; Streptophyta; Magnoliopsida; Fabales; Fabaceae.
ACUCAUCUGAGACAAGGCAGCUGGGUGCGAGGGUUCUCAUCGGAGAGAGGGCAGCUGGGUGCGAGGGUUCUCAUCGGAGAGAGGAAAGCUGAGUGUGACAGUUCUCAUCGGCAGUGAUGAAGAUGAAGGGCAGCUGGGUGCG